RNAcentral lists this transfer RNA (21 nucleotides) under Prochilodus lineatus (curimbata). Its description in RNAcentral is "partial tRNA-Thr". Lineage: Eukaryota; Metazoa; Chordata; Actinopteri; Characiformes; Prochilodontidae. The record is from RNAcentral.
GAGUUAAACUCCUCCUUAAUG